UGUUUGUGCUAAACGCCGGUUUGGGAUUAAAAAAAAGUGACGUGCUGUCGACGAAGCAUGGCAGCACCGAGCACUUGUUUUUUUAUUUAUUCUUGUAAGGACGCGAGGAAGUGAAGAUGCCGUGAAUAUCAGGUGCCUGUUUGUGCGCCGUUUUUAACGUUCUGCCGGCGAUUACCAGGCGCGGUGACUCAGGUGGCGGCGCCGCGCCAGGCUGCCCCUGCUGCAGGCGCCCAGGGCAAGAAGGGGAAUGGUUUGAGAAAAGACAGCUAGCAUGGCAGCCGCGUACAUAAUGUCAGUGUUUCAUGGAAGAUGAUCAGGCGAUUUUGUUAUGGGAAGUUGCAAAGCCGAUUUUACAUCUUUGCCUCCAGUAAAAGCGGACGUGAAUUCGUAAGCCAGAAGCUGAAGGUUGCCGUCCCUGAGCUAUCUGGUUUGGAUUUGGGCAGAAUUUUGUGCUUUACAUCAUGGCUUUGGAAACACGUGCCUCAAGAUUUGCCAUGUGCAGACCCUCAGAGUGCCCAGGAAGAAUGACCACAGCUGCGCUCAAAAAGGUUACAGGAAAGCUCCAACAGGUUUGUUCCCUGCGGGACUGAACCCAUCCAAGCCUGUAAGGAACAGACACUUCCCAGUGCUACAAAUGCAGCAUAAAAGUUAACUUUGCAGUGACUACUUUUUGUGCGUUUGAUAAGUUGCUACAUAGUUAUAAGCAUCUUUUUUUCAAUUGUUUGUAACCAGGAUUUGAGGUUAUGGAUAUACAUGUCUAUCAUAGCCCUAUGUAUGUAUGUUUGGUCAAUGACAGCAUCUAUUUAUCAAGCAUCCCUUCUCUAUCCUUCUGAAGCUGGUAAAGGUGCAUUAAAGAUACAAGACAGGAGGAAAAUUAAGACUGUAUAUCAGCUUCAGUGAGUGGGCCCUGUGGCUCCAGUAUUCUUCUGCAAUUACGCAUAUUUUGCUGUCAGGCAGGUAAACUGCCUGCUUGUUUCCGUACUGACAGUAGCCAGGUGUAUCAUGGACAUGUGAUGUUAAGGCAGAUAAAGACGACAGAUCAUUUCUGAAUUAGAGAGACAGAGAGCAAGAACACAAAUGUCCACACCAAAACAACAAUAGCUGUAAAGGGGAAAAAAAGUGCUAGUUGUUUAGCUGUUGCGUAUGGAGCAAUUCAUAGCUUUAAUUCAUUAGAACAUCACAAGUUCAAGCAACCUCAGCCCAGAUAAGAGUAUGUGGAACUCUGGCAUUUUAAAAGCCGCAUUUGAAAACUGUGGUCAGCCAGUUUUUCAGAUUUUGUAAUGUUUAUGAUCUCACCUAAAAAAAAGGUCUGGACAAGUAGGAACCCCCAGGCUACAGCCUAUACUCCAGCCUGUGCAUGGGGAGGGAGGAAAAAUGAUAACUUGAAUUUGUAUAGUUUGAAUUUUCAUUUUUUGCUAGUAUUCUAUUAGGCAAACUAUUCACCUCACUCUUCUGGAGCCCAAGUCACAGCUCUAAAUAACAGUCUUCAUUUGCCAUUUAUAUUUCCUGUAUGAGAUGGUGAUAUUUAUAGCAACUUUCUCAGUCCCCUGCUGAACAGACUAUUAACUAACGUUCUUGCAGACACAUUGACAGAACAGUAGUAGAAGGCUACUACUCCAGCCUAGAUUUUUGCAACAAUUACCUGUAGACUGUCAUCUGCCUACAACAGUAUGAAUCAGAGGAAAUUACUGUUUAUAGUUUACAGAAUACAUGUGACACUGGUAAGGUCUCUGCCUUGAAUAGCUUAGAUUUAAAUUAGCUGAGGCAGCAGAGGAGGGGGGAGGGCAAGCAAAAGCAAGUCUUGCAAAUCCAUGGCAUGGUGCCUGGUAACAGGUCACUGAGCAGGAAAGAAAACUCUGGCUUCAUUAUCAACAUUGGGCCUAUGUUCAAGUAUCAGCAACUUCUUUCCUGGAGAUUUCUCAAAACACAACCAAAGCCUUUUUGGACUCUUAGAAGAGAAAUUAGCCCCUGCUAUGAUGCAGGUAGGAUAUCACGUUUUGUUUUUGUGACUAAUGGUUGAGAAGGCUGUAGAAAUUAGCCUAAAAAUGUCAAGUAUUUCUGCACAAGAAUGUAGCAGAUUGUACACAUGGCAGGCACCGGGCACAGGUGGUACUGACAGAUGGUCUCCAGCCUUCCUCAACACUGAGCUGAUGUGGUGGGGUUGCUCUGAUGAAGGCAGCAAGUAUCCUGGAACAUUCAUUCAUGAGCUCACAGCCUUUUAGAUGGGUUAAAGAACACAUAGGUGAGUAAACAGAAGGCACCACAAAACAGUGACCCAAUCAAAAUGCUACUAUCAGAAGGGUGUACGUGUAUGUAUAGGUAGGGAGGGAGAGGAAGAAUUGUAAUUAGGUCACAGGGACCAACAGACAAAUAACAGGACAAAAUUAUCUAAUACCUGGGCUGUCAGUACACGAAUGCCAGGACACAGGAUGCAUUGGAACAAUUACAGUUUUUACACAACUAACUGUGAUGACAGGGGAUUGUGGAAUAAAAUCACUGAAUAAAAUAUUGUUAAAAAAGGACGUAAGCAAGAGAAAUAGAAGGAGAUAGCACGGAAGCUAUGCCACAAAAGCUACAGUAUAGACUACCUGAUCAAAAAUGAAGAGAACAAUGUUGUGGUAAGAAUCAAGUAUCUGCUGGAAAAGCAGUACAGCAGGAAACAAACAGUCCAUCAAGUUCUUACAACAGUUUGUGUAAGUUAUGGGCAUGGCUCCAUAAGUCAACUGUGAUUACUAGGAUGAACCUGGCUAAGACAAAAAACAUGCAAAGUCAGUCAUGAAAUGAGCUUGUCAUUCUGGACAAAGGAAGGAGCAAGAAGCAGAAGAAAGAUGUUCUUGCAUAUUUCAACAAAUUCAGGACUAUUAGCAAGUUUCAUGUCAAGAUAAUCCUUAGAAAUAACAUGGGGGUGGGAGGGAAGAGUAUAUUCCAGUUAGGUGGAAGACUAAAUAAACAGGAAGUAGAUCAAACCAUGGCUGAAUAGAGAAUAUUCUGCUGCUUCUUUGCUUCAGUUGACAUAAAGGGCUGUGAUCGGUCACCUAACAGCAGCAUGAACAAAAGCAGAUUCAAGAAUGUUUCAUAAACUACACGUAUUAUACUUCACUGAUUAAAACAAAAGCAAGCAAAGCAACUAAGAUCAGAAGUGAUAUACUUUUUUAUAAUAAAAAAAAAAUGUUAAAGGACAUUGGUAAGGUUUCAGUGUGCUAGAGAAGGACAAAAAACCCUGAUAGUUAAAUAAGAGGAAAAAAAACAGACUAAUGUGAGGUCAGUCAGACAAUAUGGGGAAAAAUAUAAUAAGUUAAUUUACUGUGUUUUUCUAACCCUAUGAGUACAUGUGUUGAAAUGUGUACCACAAGUGGCAGAAAAUACAAAAUUUAAUGUUAAUUUGACAUCUGUGGAGAACAAAACAAGCAUAUAUACAACUGAUUUAACUGAAGAACUACUCUGCCCACAGUAAGAAAAGAAAAUGGCAAUUUUUCAUAUUACUGUCAGAGCUAUCAGUAACACCAGCAGUUAAUAAAAAAAAGUUUUGUAAGCUAAGUAACCAAAGACAAGUUAUACAUAAGACCUUAUGAAAAAUAUACAGCUAACUUCUCCAGUAUUUACAGAAGUGAUGAUGUAAAGCAAAUAUAACCUUUCAUCAACUAAAAAUUCUGAGUCAAAUUUUGUAAUUUAGAGUAUUUUAGAUUAACACUGAAAACUAAAAACUUUUUCUUUUUUCUUAUUUAGCUAUCAUCUAUUCCAGUGUAACCUAGUUAGGAAGCGCUAUGAUAUAAAUAAUUUUCUUCUCAAUUUACAAAAACAGCAAAAUGGUCCUUGUAGCUGCAAUUCCAAGCAGCAAUUUUUUUGCAAUCUAUUUCUAAAAGUAACUUUAAAUAUGGAACAUUAAUGCUUCUGUUACAGAUGCCAUGCCAAAACUGAGCAAGCGAGAUGUAAAUUUAAAACAUACAAUAUACUUUUCUUCCACAUUAAAGACUAAUGGAUUACACAGUUAAGUUUAUGGAAACUUAUAGGGCAAAUAAGCCUAUCAAAAAAAGAAAAAAAUAUCCUGAGAAUUGUAAGUAAAGACACUUGUUUUAAAAAGGUCAAGUACUUUGGUCACUAGCUUCAAACCUCUAAGUGAGAACCCUGUCAGUCUGUGGUUAACUUCUAAAGGGUGAACCUUUCACCAAAGGCCAACCAAGAAGAAGCAAUUCUGUUGCAACUAAGAUUAUAUUUACCAUUACAGUUGCCUGCAUCUACAUUGGAUUUUUUUUUUCCUCUUAGAGGUCCACAAAAAAACUUGCAGUCCACUGAUUCAGAUUUAUGCAUGUUCCAACAAAAGACAAAGGUAAACGUGUGCGUUACUGAAUGAUUUUGGAGAGGAUGUUUCAUCAUGUUAGCAAGCGAAAGCUCAGCACACUGCACAUUAAAGAGAAUUAACUAGAUAUUCUGUGUAGCUGUUAAACAUAGAAAUCCAAAGUCUAAAAAUCAAGUGGUAAAUUCUUGAAAAGAAUAUUGAAGAAAUACCCAAAGAACAUUGCUGAGGUUGUACUAUAACAUUUUACUUCAUUUAAGUACAGCAAAUUUCACCAGUCCUAUGAUUUAUAAAGUACACAAAAUUUGUACAUAAAGGAAACCAAAACCCAUCAAAAGAUGAUCAUAAAUGUGUGUAUGUGCAUGUAACAUACACACGAAAUGUGCAAAUUUUUUUAAUGCAAGUUAAACAAAGCAUAUACAGGAUAGAGUUGUACAGUGCUAAGGGAACAUACGGUAUUCUAGGUAUCCUUAUGAUGUUUCAUAUCUACAGCCAGUGCAAACUUAAAAGGCACAAACUCAAUGCUGACACUGUA
Long non-coding RNA from Dromaius novaehollandiae (emu), 4829 nucleotides. RefSeq lists it as uncharacterized. NCBI's taxonomy places the organism in Eukaryota, Metazoa, Chordata, Aves, Casuariiformes, Dromaiidae. The record is from RefSeq and is a predicted model, not a curated record. The transcript has 3 exons.